This is a long non-coding RNA of Mytilus californianus (California mussel), 1655 nucleotides long. RefSeq lists it as uncharacterized. The transcript has 7 exons. The record is from RefSeq and is a predicted model, not a curated record. Lineage: Eukaryota; Metazoa; Mollusca; Bivalvia; Mytilida; Mytilidae.
UACGAGAAAUGUCAUCUUCAUCAGAUGUUGGUCUGGAAGUUGGAGCUUACUUCGCCAUGCCAGAUGACGGUCAAAUAUGUCUUGGACCAUCUGAUUGCAUUUAAUCAACAUAUUAACAGAUUGAUUUUUUUUUAUAGUGCUGACAAACCAGAAUCACCAGUCAACAGAAUGCCGACAGAUUUUUUAAAUUUUGAUCCAUCUUCUGCAAUUCCUGACUACUUACAGUGUGGGUCUGAAGUAUGCCUAGAGCAUCAAGGAUACCCUGUGUGUAAAGCAAAAGUUGUCUUUCCCAGCCAGUAUUGAAGGCAUGACUGAUAUUGAGAGGAAUGAAUUUGUACUUGAACAAAUGACCCUUAAAAGAAGAAACACAGACGUUGCAGUGUUCCCCUACAAGUCUGAAUACAGAAGUUGGGAGAAAGUUGGGAAAGGUGCACGGUUUGCAUGUUGUGUUGGUGAAGUAAAACCAGGAGAGGUUUAUGACAAUUUCGUAAAAGACAAGAAUAGAUGCCAGCAAAAGUUUACUUACUUACAGAAAAAGAAGGAGCCCCAAAAAAAAAAACAGCCAACAGAAAAACAACCAGAUCCAGAGAAUCAAGUGCCAAUUCCGGAGCCAGAACCUGUGGAGCCAGAACUUCAGGAACUUGAGAUGGAGCUUGAUCAGAUCACUAGUAGCCUGAUUUCAGUCUGAAACGGUCAUUUUGGUCUGAUCAAGUCUGAAUCGACUGAAUUUACCGCGAGAGAAAAACGUCAAGACUUUUUCAGACUUUCAGACGCCGUUCCGAUCGAUACUCCAAUUAGCAAAAGAUAGAUUGUACAACAGCUUGGUCGACGAUUUGAAGACAUCCAGCUGCUUCCCGGUACCAUGUCAAAUGUUAAAGUAUACCAGUAUAUGUCAUCUUUAUACAAUGCGGUUUGGUACAUAAGAACCAUGGAAAAGAUAAAUGAACGCUCCAAACAAUAGGUCAGUCUUACCCCAGUACCACAAAGAUUCAUGAAGUAUGACGAGUGUAACAACUGGAAAGAAAGAAAAAAAAAAAGAAACCACGUCUGAGCUGCACCGAUCUCAAACUUCACUGUAAAUGUCUUGUUUAUUUUUUAAGUGCACCUUUUGCCCAAAAGUGGUCUACAUUUCAUCCUGGCUCUAUCCAUAAGCUCCUAUGCUAGUUUUCUAGAGUAAUAAAGAGCAAACCAUCCGUCAACAGCAGCUCCAUCCUGACAGAGAGCUACAAAAACCUGUGUGGAUUGAAGACCGGAAGAAGUCUGACGUAAACGGACAUCUAACAAAAACUUGACUCGAGUCUAAAAGAGGUUGUUGACUUCUGUUUAUCAAAUUUGUUUUUCGUGUAUUGUUAAAACACAUAAAUCAGGUCGUUUGUUGUGUCGUUUGAAUGGUUCUACAUUUGUCAAUUCAGGGUAUUUUAUAGCUUACUAUGUGGUAUGGGUUUUGCUUAUUAUUGAAGUCUGUAAGUGACCUUUAGUUCUAUUUCAUUUGGUAUCUGGUGGAGAAUUUAAACUAGCAAUGAUACAACAUUUUUUUAUUACUAUAUUGAUUAAGUUUGUGAAAGACUGACUAUAUAAACGAAGAUCUGAUCAUGUACAAACUUACUGUAAUGAGGUUUUGAUUUAGAACAAGAAGGAAUUGGGUCUUUUUUUAA